Thunnus maccoyii (southern bluefin tuna) is the source of this 708-nucleotide long non-coding RNA. RefSeq lists it as uncharacterized. NCBI's taxonomy places the organism in Eukaryota, Metazoa, Chordata, Actinopteri, Scombriformes, Scombridae. The transcript is spliced from 2 exons. The record is from RefSeq and is a predicted model, not a curated record.
UUGCACAAUAAUUGAUAAAUGUUGUGUGAAGUUGCGGCACAGAGUUAUUGUUUCCGUUUCAGCCCCUGCCUCCCACUGAGCACUCCCACAAGACUGAGCGAGUGAAUGACUUGAAAUCCCGAGCCGUCUUAACUUUCAGUAUUACAACUAAAGCCAAAUAACACAAACCCUGCUUGAUAAAGCUGCUGGAUUCCUCCACCUUUUGCUUUGAUGACAGCUUUGUACACUAUUGACAAUAUCUUGACCAGCUCCAUGAGGUCGUCACUUGGAUGGUUGUCCAACAGCCUUGAAGGAGUUCCUACAUUGCUGAGCACUUGUUAGCUGCUUUUCCUUCACUCUGUGGUCCAACUCAUCCCAAACCAUCUCAGUUGGGUUUAGGUCGGGUGAUUGUGGAGGCCGGGUCAUCUGACACAGCCCUCCAUCACUCUCCUUCUUGGUCAGACAGCUCUUACAGAGCCUGGAGGUGUGUUUUGGGUCAUUUCCCUGUUGAAAAACAAAUGAUGAUCCCACCAAGCGCAAACCAGAUGGGAUGAUGUGUCACUGCAGGAUGUUGCGGUAGCCAUGCUGGUUAAGUGUGCCUUUUACUCUGAUUAAAUCACCAACAGUGUCAACAGCAAUAUUUAACAAUUUAUUCAUUCUUUGAUAUGUGACUUGUUUGAGAAUUACUUUUAAUUUGUAAAAAUAAAAAUAUGGAUUUUUGUCUUGAAA